Molecule: long non-coding RNA, 664 nt
Filed under: Mytilus galloprovincialis (Mediterranean mussel)
Lineage: Eukaryota; Metazoa; Mollusca; Bivalvia; Mytilida; Mytilidae
Source: RNAcentral
CCCGACUUCUAAAUGCUGCAUGUUUGUCUAAAAUGUACAACGUACCACUUGUUUGAGGCACAAAAUGCUAGAUAAAAAAAAAACAAUUAACAAAAUGUAUAUAAAAUAAGAUUUUUCGUUUCUGUAAAUAAAAAGUAAUAUAACAAAAAUACCGAAUUUCUUGGAAAAUUCGAAACGGAAGGUCCGUGAUCAAAUGGCCUGCUAUAUGGCUCAAACACUUCAAACGAAUGAUUAACAACUGUCAUAUUCCUGAUUUGGUACUGGCGUUUUCUUAUGUAAAACAUGGUGGCUUACACCUGGUUUUAUAGCUAGCUAAACCUCUCACUUGUAUGACAGUCGCAUCAAAUUCCAUUAUAUUGACAACGAUGUAUGAACAAAACAGACAGACAUAGAAAUGUCAAAAAUAGUGGUACAGCAGUCAACAUUAUGUUAUAAUCUUGAUCACUAUAAAAACAAACAAAUAUGUAACAAAAAAAUCAUAAAAAGGCAUAUAGACAAAGCACAUAAGCAAAAAUUAAAGACAAACAUUAACCCAAUGACGGGAUGUAUAAGUACAUAUCCACGUUAUAUGUAUCCAAAAAACACAAAAAGGUAGAUGGACAAAGCACAUUAGCGUACAUGAAAAGACAAGAAGACACACAUUUUACAAUAGGUCAAUAACACA